RNAcentral lists this ribosomal RNA (441 nucleotides) under uncultured bacterium. RNAcentral's name for it is "partial 16S ribosomal RNA". It matches the Rfam family "Bacterial small subunit ribosomal RNA", at positions 338 to 795 of the family's 1533-position model. The record is from RNAcentral.
CCUACGGGCGGCAGCAGUGGGGAAUAUUGCACAAUGGGGGGAACCCUGAUGCAGCGACGCCGCGUGGGUGAAGGAGUAUUUCGGUAUGUAAAGCUCUAUUAGCAGGGAAGAACAAUGACGGUACCUGACUAAGAUGCACCGGCUAAAUACGUGCCAGCAGCCGCGGUAAUAUGUAUGGUGCCAGCGUUAUCCGGAUUUACUGGGUGUAAAGGGAGCGCAGGUGGCGCGUUAAGCCUGGUGUGAAAGCCCGCGGCCCAACCGCGGGACUGCAUUGGGAACUGGCGCGCGGGAGUGCAGGAGAGGUGGGCGGAAUUCCUGGUGUAGCGGUGAAAUGCGUAGAUAUUAGGAGGAACACCAGUGGCGAAGGCGGCCUACUGGACGGUAACUGACGCUGAGGCUCGAAAGCGUGGGGAGCAAACAGGAUUAGAUACCCUUGUAGUC